RNAcentral lists this long non-coding RNA (2040 nucleotides) under Equus caballus (horse). Its description in RNAcentral is "lncRNA (ENSECAG00000055742.1)". Lineage: Eukaryota; Metazoa; Chordata; Mammalia; Perissodactyla; Equidae. The record is from RNAcentral.
CGGACAGAUUAUGGGGGGUCAAAGGCUCUGCCACUGCUUGUCUACCGGGGGUGGAUGCCCAGAGUCUCUUCUCUCCACUGAGGUUUCUAGAGCAAACUUUCUCUCAGCUGAUUCUCUCACAGAAGUCUUAGAUAAGCUUUGCCUGUGAGUGAACCCAUAGAGAGUAGAGACCAUUGCUCCCAUUAUUGUUAAUUUACUUGAAUCCUGCUUAUUUCCGAUAAUUUGAGGCAGCCCAGAAUUUCCAGUCGUCCUCAGCUCGUGCUCUGAGCCGUGAAUCGUCAUAUGUGUGCGUAGGUGUCACUGAUAAGGCUAAUUCAGGAUCACUCUGCACUCACAAGAUGGGUUUUCUUUGAUUAGGGGUCUGAAGCUCUCUGAAGGCCUAUGUGAGUUUCCCUUCUGCUUCUAGAUUCUCUACAAGGAGGAUCAUCAUCUAAAAGCAGGUUCUUCACCUGGGCACGGGUGUCAGGGGCAUCUGUGGAGCCCUUGAAAUUGUGCCAGAAUUUGCUGCAUUAGGGCUUUUCUGGAGAGGACACAUUUUUCAUUAGAUCCUCAAAUGAUCCCAUUCCUCCAAAGGUUAAGAUCCACUGCUUACCGUCACGGUUUCUAGGCGGGGUUUAGGAAAAACUCAGAAGAACUUCCACCUUCAGUAUGGGUCUUCACUCCGCAAUUGUCGUCGUCCCGUGACCCUGGACCACCUGAGGGGCAUGAAAUUCUCUUCUCCUUCUGCUCCCAAUCAUUCACUUCUGCAAGUCCACACCUGAAGGAGUCAGCAGCCUGCAAACAGCUAAGUCUCAAUAGAGUCCAGGCUCACCUGCCACAAACAGAUGCAUGUCAUCGUCGUCCAUCUCCCGGACUGGUUCCCAUCUCAUCUGAUCCUGAGAAACAGGAAGUGAGGGGCCCCAAGAAGUGGAAACACCUGAUUUCCCAUCACUUUCCCGCUGAGUCACUGAGUCUUUCAUUGUCCUCUUUCUGCUAAGGUUUUAUUGUAGUGAUUUUUAUUGUUAUUGUUGCUUUGCUUUGUUUUGUGAGUGAAAUGGGCUUCCCGCAAAAUCUUAAGUGAGUUCUUGAGUGAUAUUUUUACAGUUGCUUGUUUUAAAACCAGUGUAAUUACUUGAUUAUAAAUAUUUCUUGAAAAAAGUUGGAAGGAAGACUCCAGGCAGAGAGAGCCACAGAGUUAUUUAAGGGUUGCAGACGUCCUUUCAAAGCAGUUACGCUCAGUUAUGAACGAUGUGCGCCCUGGAAGAUAAUGCUAGUUCCUCCAGAAAAGCAAGCCUUCCACUUUUAGGUAAGCUGAGAAUUCAUUCCUGCCCUCUGGUAACUUAAAAAACCCACACAAAGCACUAUUCUCUUUAUUCAUUGUCAGGAAAAUUCUUUAAAGCUCCCAGGGCUAAAUUAUAAAUGUUCCCUUCCAACCAAGAUGAUUACACAAAGGAAGCUGGGAUGGCUGGCCCUGUGGGGCUGGGGAUGCGGGCAUCACAAGCCAGGACCUUACCUGGCCUGAGAGCUACACAACAACUCCUUUUUUUUCCUUUUUAACCCCAGCCUAGGAGGCUCAUUUCUGUGCCCAUGCAAAUUAGACAUUCCUCAGUGCUUGCUCCCUAAUUACUCACCCACGUCACUCACUCUGCCAUGCAGGAGUAGGACAGGAAUUCACCAAAUAAAAACUUGCACGAGGUUGUCUGUCCCAAUGCCCAAGACGCCUGACAAAACGGGAAGUAACCUCCAGAGGCACAGGUGUGUCAGGGUGUGGACUUAUAAGUUAUCCUCUGUUGAACUAAACGUGUAAUUAGAAAUUCCUUAUCAGAUAUGCCUACUUCAGAUGGUGCAACCAGAAAGAAUGAUAAAUAUUUGUAUUAAAAUGAUAAUAAAUCUAUUAUGAUUUUCACCUCCUUUUUCAUAAUUGUCCUCCAUCUACAAAAUACAUCUCUAGGCAAAUUAAACUUCUCAAGAGAGUAUGAAAAAAAGGUAGGCUUUUCUUGAUUUUAGAAGCCAAGCCACAACUUGAACAGCUAAUAGUAAAAGCUCCCGUCGUAUUGAACG